RNAcentral lists this ribosomal RNA (1353 nucleotides) under Staphylococcus aureus. RNAcentral describes it as "bacterial SSU rRNA". It matches the Rfam family "Bacterial small subunit ribosomal RNA", at positions 182 to 1520 of the family's 1533-position model. Lineage: Bacteria; Bacillati; Bacillota; Bacilli; Caryophanales; Staphylococcaceae. The record is from RNAcentral.
UGAACCGCAUGGUUCAAAAGUGAAAGACGGUCUUGCUGUCACUUAUAGAUGGAUCCGCGCUGCAUUAGCUAGUUGGUAAGGUAACGGCUUACCAAGGCAACGAUGCAUAGCCGACCUGAGAGGGUGAUCGGCCACACUGGAACUGAGACACGGUCCAGACUCCUACGGGAGGCAGCAGUAGGGAAUCUUCCGCAAUGGGCGAAAGCCUGACGGAGCAACGCCGCGUGAGUGAUGAAGGUCUUCGGAUCGUAAAACUCUGUUAUUAGGGAAGAACAUAUGUGUAAGUAACUGUGCACAUCUUGACGGUACCUAAUCAGAAAGCCACGGCUAACUACGUGCCAGCAGCCGCGGUAAUACGUAGGUGGCAAGCGUUAUCCGGAAUUAUUGGGCGUAAAGCGCGCGUAGGCGGUUUUUUAAGUCUGAUGUGAAAGCCCACGGCUCAACCGUGGAGGGUCAUUGGAAACUGGAAAACUUGAGUGCAGAAGAGGAAAGUGGAAUUCCAUGUGUAGCGGUGAAAUGCGCAGAGAUAUGGAGGAACACCAGUGGCGAAGGCGACUUUCUGGUCUGUAACUGACGCUGAUGUGCGAAAGCGUGGGGAUCAAACAGGAUUAGAUACCCUGGUAGUCCACGCCGUAAACGAUGAGUGCUAAGUGUUAGGGGGUUUCCGCCCCUUAGUGCUGCAGCUAACGCAUUAAGCACUCCGCCUGGGGAGUACGACCGCAAGGUUGAAACUCAAAGGAAUUGACGGGGACCCGCACAAGCGGUGGAGCAUGUGGUUUAAUUCGAAGCAACGCGAAGAACCUUACCAAAUCUUGACAUCCUUUGACAACUCUAGAGAUAGAGCCUUCCCCUUCGGGGGACAAAGUGACAGGUGGUGCAUGGUUGUCGUCAGCUCGUGUCGUGAGAUGUUGGGUUAAGUCCCGCAACGAGCGCAACCCUUAAGCUUAGUUGCCAUCAUUAAGUUGGGCACUCUAAGUUGACUGCCGGUGACAAACCGGAGGAAGGUGGGGAUGACGUCAAAUCAUCAUGCCCCUUAUGAUUUGGGCUACACACGUGCUACAAUGGACAAUACAAAGGGCAGCGAAACCGCGAGGUCAAGCAAAUCCCAUAAAGUUGUUCUCAGUUCGGAUUGUAGUCUGCAACUCGACUACAUGAAGCUGGAAUCGCUAGUAAUCGUAGAUCAGCAUGCUACGGUGAAUACGUUCCCGGGUCUUGUACACACCGCCCGUCACACCACGAGAGUUUGUAACACCCGAAGCCGGUGGAGUAACCUUUUAGGAGCUAGCCGUCGAAGGUGGGACAAAUGAUUGGGGUGAAGUCGUAACAAGGUAGCCGUAUCGGAAGGUGCGGCUG